AGGUCUUAUUUUAAAUGUCCCCAAGGCAACCACCACCAACCACUGACUUCUCAGACUAUCAGAAAUAUAGCUACCUGUACCAUCUAUUCAUCGCACUGAUCACAUUUAUUACGUCAUUUGAACCUCCCACCAAGUACGUAAGUGACCAAUGGAGCACCCCGAGACCCCUGGGUGCAGCAUGGAGGCGUGGGUACACGUUUUACCAUGAAGAGAAUUAGCUAUAGGAAGGCAAAGUCCAGACUGUACUGCUGGAUCAGAUGCCAGAGGAGGUAGCUGGCAUUGAGGAUUAAGUGGGGGAAGAAUGUUGGAGCACAGAAUUGAUGCUGUGAGGAUGAGAGGCUCGGAGCAGCCAUAGCCACAAAGAGGAAGAUCCAGGAGCUACUUGCAACCACACAAGUGGAAGCAGUGCCUAGAU
Long non-coding RNA from Myotis myotis, 415 nucleotides. RefSeq lists it as uncharacterized. NCBI's taxonomy places the organism in Eukaryota, Metazoa, Chordata, Mammalia, Chiroptera, Vespertilionidae. The transcript has 5 exons. The record is from RefSeq and is a predicted model, not a curated record.